Molecule: long non-coding RNA, 1484 nt
Organism: Daphnia pulex (common water flea)
Lineage: Eukaryota; Metazoa; Arthropoda; Branchiopoda; Diplostraca; Daphniidae
Exons: 4
Source: RefSeq, a predicted model, not a curated record
CGCCCUCUCUAAAAAUAUAAUAAGGCUUUAUUUCUUUCUGUGUACCCAUCUGAACUGUAUAAUACGAAUACCACCUACAACUGUUCUUUUUGCUUUUUCCCCUUUUAAUUAAUAUUCUAAAACUCUGGAAUACUAAAAGGCUUCAGCAUUAUCACAAGCACAGAUAUGGAUUUUAAAACUCGCAGAAGUGGAAACAUUUUUGAGAAAAAAUGGAUUCAGUGAAAGCACAACAACAAUAUUGAAAUCCAAAGAAAUCGAUGGGGAGUCUGAUUCUAUUGAAUGAUGCUGAUGUGGCCAGCUAUGGUUUGAAAAUUGGGCCAGUUACUAAGCUGAGAGGAUUGAUUCAGAGUUUACGUCAACAAAAAGAAAGUAUACCCAAUUCUCCUACUGAUACUGACCAUAGACAGCAAGCUGGGAAUGUCAUCGUCAAUGAAGGAAGUGGGUCAACUUCAGAACAUCCAUCUAAUGAAAAGGGCUUUAAUGUAAUUUCCAUUUUGAAGGAAAACAAAACAGGGAAAGAAAUUGUUGACAAAUUCAUGGACAGAAAUGAAGACUUCUUAACACACAAUGAAAGAAUUGCUGUUGUUAAAAUUUUGUGUCAACACAUAGUCAGAAAAGAUCCCUUACAGUAUUAUCCUUCCACAGAAACAAAGAAGCUGUAUGCUGCUUGGAUUAUGAAAGCAUUCCCGUGUCUUGGCACAAAGAACCUUGAUUCUCAAGGAGAAUUUAAGAUUAUUCUUGACGUUUAUUUUCACCCUCAAACUGGGGGAUUCAUUGAAAAUCAUUUAAAAGAAAUUUGGAGAAGAGACGGAAUCCGCAAAAGACGACCGAAUAUCAAUAACGAAACUAAAAAUUCUGAAACGAAUCCCGGCGUUCCUAGUAAGAGAAAGAAGGCCAAAAAGGGACAAUUUUAAACAGACAAACAAGCAGCAGUUGAAGACGAUAACGUUUUGAAGUCAAUGAUUUCAUGGAUGAAAACUCACGUUUCUUCAAUAGAAAACACUGGAAAAGUGUAUGAAUACAUGGAAAAAACUUAUUCCUAUCGACAAAAACAGAUUGGAUUCACGUUCCAGAGUGCGACGGACUCCUAGAUGGGUUUGCCGUGACUGUAAGGGAGACAUAGUAUAUUUUUAGCUUCACAUUUUAUAUACACCCAAAGUAUAUUUAAGUUUAGCACUAUUGAAAUCUGUCAUUGAAAAAAGGCCUGAAAAACUGCCGUGAAGAAUCCCAUUAUUUCUCGUCUGUUUCCUUCUAAAGCCGCUCUGAGUCUGAACUUUUUUUACAAAAAAACGAGUUAAGGUAUAAAUUUACGAGACCAAACCACGUCGCAGCUUUUUUCCUAAUUUGUUUUACAUAUAUAACGUGCUUUGUACAUUGUGUGCCUGCUUUGUGCGUCAUAUUGUUCUUCCGUUUGGAGAAGAAGUUUCAGUUCCUGCUACUUGGUUAAUAAAUUGCACGUGCCCUACGCAACGAUAGAAUUAUUA